Molecule: ribosomal RNA, 776 nt
Filed under: uncultured Neocallimastigales
Lineage: Eukaryota; Fungi; Neocallimastigomycota; Neocallimastigomycetes; Neocallimastigales
Description: partial large subunit ribosomal RNA
Rfam family: Eukaryotic large subunit ribosomal RNA
Source: RNAcentral
AGAGAGAGACAUGCGCGCAUAUCAAUAAGCGGAGGAAAAGAAACUAACAAGGAUUCCCCUAGUAACGGCGAGUGAAGCGGGAAGAGCUCAAAUUUGAAAUCUUAAAGGGUUCUCCCUUGACGAAUUGUAGUUUAAAGAAGUGUUUUCUGUUGGAGUUUUGGUAAAAGUUCUUUGGAAUAGGACAUCAUAGAGGGUGAGAAUCCCGUAUUUGACCAUUAUUUCCAGCUUUGUGAUACACUUCCAAAGAGUCGGAUUGUUUGGGAAUGCAGUCCAAAAUGGGUGGUAAAUUUCAUCUAAAGCUAAAUAUUGGCGAGAGACCGAUAGCGAACAAGUACCGUGAGGGAAAGAUGAAAAGAACUUUGAAAAGAGAGUUAAACAGUACGUGAAAUUGUCAAAAGGGAAGCGUUUGACACCAGUGUUGUUUUCUCGAAAAUCAAUUAAAAAAGGCAGGAUUUUGUGUUGUAUUGACUUUAUCAGCUUUCUGCACUCUUUUCUUGUCUUUUUUAAUGCACUUUUCGUUUAACAAGUCAACAUCAAUUUCUUUUGUUGUAAAAGGGUCAUUGGAAGGUGGCUUUCUUUUCGGAGAAAGUGUUUAUAGCCUUUGGCCUCUGCAAUCGGAGAGAUUGAGGUCUGCAGCGUAGAUCCUUCGGGGUUAGAUACAUUUGUGCUAAGUUAUAGCCUUUUCAUAGACAACUUGUUGACUAUGAUCAGUCAUGUAGCUUACUCGCUUAUGCUAUUUUACCUACGCUUAGGAUGUUGAUGUGAUACUGCGAGCA